GAUUCUCGACGUGUUUCUUAGAUUGAUGUCUGAUGUUGAUUGUGCGAUGAUUGUUUGCUGGAAGGGUAACUUUCUAGUGUGCGUCUUUGUAGUAAAACCAUUAGAGGUUGAUGUAAGAAUAAUUUAAUAAAUUUAAAUUAGUUUAUGAUAAUUCAUGUGAAAGGGUACAGCUAUGUAUAAAAUGAUGCAAAUAAGUUUUGAUAAAUAUUUGUAACUUGAUGGAAGUUAUGAAUCAAUGUUUAAAAGUGGUCCAAUGACAUUAAUUAAUUCUAGUAAUUAGUCACAAAUAUAAAAGUCCUUUUGAAUAUGCGCAGUCGAGACGCGAAAUUCUUUGCAUACUUAUUCAGGUUGCUUUCCACUUGACAAUUUGUGCAAUUCAUAUUUUUAAUUAUGUUCUAGAGCUUGAUACACGUUUGGGGACAAAUGAGACACCUUAUCCUUCUAAGUUUUGUCUCUUUACAAAUUUU
RNAcentral lists this long non-coding RNA (467 nucleotides) under Medicago truncatula (barrel medic). RNAcentral describes it as "long non-coding RNA (MTRU_LNC002017)". The record is from RNAcentral. Lineage: Eukaryota; Viridiplantae; Streptophyta; Magnoliopsida; Fabales; Fabaceae.